AGUCAAGUAAUUAAGUGCAUGUGGUGGAUGCCUUGGCAGUCAGAGGCGAUGAAAGACGUGAUAGCCUGCGAAAAGCUCCGGGGAGGCGGCAAAUAUCCUUUGAUCCGGAGAUGUCUGAAUGGGGGAACCCACCUACUUUAAGGUAGGUAUUGCAACAUGAAUACAUAGUGUUGCAAGGCGAACGAGGGGAAGUGAAACAUCUCAGUACCCUUAGGAAAAGAAAUCAAUUGAGAUUCCCUCAGUAGCGGCGAGCGAACGGGGAUCAGCCCAUUAAGUUAUGUGUGUUUUAGUGGAACGCUCUGGGAAGUGCGAACGUAGAGGGUGAUAUUCCCGUACACGAAAGGGCACACAUAAUGAUGACGAGUAGGGCGAGGCACGUGAAACCUUGUCUGAAUAUGGGGGGACCAUCCUCCAAGGCUAAAUACUCCUGACUGACCGAUAGUGAACCAGUACCGUGAGGGAAAGGCGAAAAGAACCCCUGUGAGGGGAGUGAAAUAGAUCCUGAAACCGCAUGCAUACAAGCAGUGGGAGCACCUUCGUGGUGUGACUGCGUACCUUUUGUAUAAUGGGUCAGCGACUUAUAUUCAGUAGCGAGGUUAACCGUAUAGGGGAGCCGUAGAGAAAUCGAGUCUUAAUAGGGCGUUUAGUUGCUGGGUAUAGACCCGAAACCAGGCGAUCUAUCCAUGAGCAGGUUGAAGGUUGGGUAACACUAACUGGAGGACCGAACCCACUGUCGUUGAAAAGCCAGGGGAUGACUUGUGGAUAGGGGUGAAAGGCUAAUCAAGCCUGGUGAUAGCUGGUUCUCCCCGAAAGCUAUUUAGGUAGCGCCUCGGACGAAUACCAUAGGGGGUAGAGCACUGUUUCGGCUAGGGGGUCAUCCCGACUUACCAAACCGAUGCAAACUCCGAAUACCUAUGAGUACUAUCCGGGAGACAGACUGCGGGUGCUAACGUCCGUAGUCAAGAGGAAAACAAUCCAGACCGCCAGCUAAGGCCCCAAAAUCAUAGUUAAGUGGGAAACGAUGUGGGAAGGCAUAGACAGCUAGGAGGUUGGCUUAGAAGCAGCCACCCUUUAAAGAAAGCGUAAUAGCUCACUAGUCGAGUCGGCCUGCGCGGAAGAUGUAACGGGGCUAAAACUAUGUGCCGAAGCUGCGGAUGUAUACUUUGUAUACGUGGUAGGGGAGCGUUCUGUAAGCCGAUGAAGGUGUGUUGAGAAGCAUGCUGGAGGUAUCAGAAGUGCGAAUGCUGACGUGAGUAACGACAAAACGGGUGAAAAACCCGUUCGCCGAAAGACCAAGGGUUCCAGUCCAACGUUAAUCGGGGCUGGGUGAGUCGACCCCUAAGGCGAGGCCGAAAGGCGUAGUCGAUGGGAAAAUGGUUAAUAUUCCAUUACUUCUGUGUAAUGCGAUGAGAGGACGGAGAAGGCUAAAUCAGCCUGGCG
This 1440-nucleotide ribosomal RNA is filed under the name Acinetobacter baumannii. Its description in RNAcentral is "partial 23S ribosomal RNA". It matches the Rfam family "Bacterial large subunit ribosomal RNA", at positions 1 to 1497 of the family's 2925-position model. The record is from RNAcentral. Lineage: Bacteria; Pseudomonadati; Pseudomonadota; Gammaproteobacteria; Moraxellales; Moraxellaceae.